Oncorhynchus tshawytscha (Chinook salmon) is the source of this 3122-nucleotide long non-coding RNA. NCBI's taxonomy places the organism in Eukaryota, Metazoa, Chordata, Actinopteri, Salmoniformes, Salmonidae. The record is from Ensembl.
CCCUACCAGUCACUCUGGUCCUCUCUACCAGACCCUACCAGUCACUCUGGUCCUCUCUACCAGACCCUACCAGUCACUCCGGUCCUCUCUACCAGACCCUACCAGUCACUCUGGUCCUCUCUACCACCAGCCAGACCCUACCAGUCACUCUGGUCCUCUCUACCAGACCCUACCAGUCACUCCGGUCCUCUCUACCAGAAAUCAAGGAUAAAUCAACCCCUAGAGACUAAGAAUGGUGGUUAAGGGUUGCUAAGCAAUGCAUCAGUUAGAUGCAUUGCUCCCCCCUGCUCUACCAUCCCCACUCAGACACACAUACUUUGCUAUUCAUUGAAGUGGCUACCCAUGCAUUUUUCACUGUCAGGUUGUAAAUGAGAGGAGAGGGUAGAGCUUAUGACAAGGGUUAUAUUGUAUUUACUGUAUAUUGUGGCUGGUGAAAGACAGAGAGAGGCAAAGACCUCUUUAAUGGAUGUUCCGGAGGUGUGAUGGUGAAAGAUAGAGAGAGGCAAAGACCUCUUUAAUGGAUGUUCCGGAGGUGUGAUGGUGAGAGACAGAGAGAGGCAAAGAGCUCUGUAAUGGAUGUUCCGGAGGUACGAUGGUGUGCGUUCCAAAUGGAACCCUUUGACCUUUGCAGCACUCUACUUGCACCACUCAGGGAAUAGGGUGCCAUUUUGGAUGCAGCCAUAUAUUCUCUGUGGCUGGUGUAGAUGACAGCAGGUCCUUGAAGGUACCUUCCGGAAAGAAACCCCUCUACUGUGUACUCUUAGGGGUUCGGACAAAAGGCAGAAAGUCCGGACUCUUCCACCACAACGGGACAAGAACAGGACGUAGAAAGUCCUGAUUCAAAGUAAAUACCAUCUAGACAGGGGACUCCUCCAAUAUCAUUAGAGUAUGAGCCCCGUUGCUGCCUGAAACCCACUUCCUCAUAUCACCAAGGCUUUGUCCCAAAUAGCACUCUGUAGACAGACUUCUAUACAAGGUCCUUAUGUUCUCUGAUCUGUCCUCUAAGCAGACUAGGCUCAGUAAUUAAUAAUGGUAGUUCAUCAUGGUUGUCUCAUGUGACUGAUUCCAUUAGUCUGGAAGCAGCAGGGGAAGCCCUGUGUGCCAGGUUGUAUCACGUGACUGAUUCCAUUAGUCUGGUAGCAGCAGGGGAAGCCCUGUGUGCCAGGUUGUAUCACGUGACUGAUUCCAUUAGUCUGGUAGCAGCAGGGGAAGCCCUGUGUGCCAGGUUGUCUCAUGUGACUGAUUCCAUUAGUCUGGUAGCAGCAGGGGAAGCCCUGUGUGCCAGGGUGGGGUGUAAGAGACACCUGGUCUACUUCCCAAAUAGCACCCUGUUCCCUAUAUAGAGCACUACCUUCGUACUGUGUAGGGAAUAAGGUCCCAUUUGGGACAGCCCUCGUGCGAUGCCUCACGACGCCAAGACAGGAAUCUUCUCUCAGCUGCUACUUAUCUCUCCCUCACCUCAUUCACACACAUCUAUUACACAAACAAGCGCACACACACACACACACACACACACAAGCACGCACGUGCACACACACACACACUGUAAUUACAGUGGAAGAAUGAUCUAUGACUAGAAUAGGUUUUCCAGACAGUGGAAGCAGUAAUCACUAGUCACAGCACUGUGUCUCUGUGGAGGUAGUAAUCACUAGUCUCAACACAGUGUCUCUGUGGAGGUAGUAAUCACUAGUCACAUCAGUGUCUCUGUGGAGGUAGUAAUCACUAGUCUCAACACAGUGUCUCUGUGGAGGUAGUAAUCACUAGUCACAGCACAGUGUCUCUGUGGAGGUAGUAAUCACUAGUCUCAACACAGUGUCUCUGUGGAGGUAGUAAUCACUAGUCUCAACACAGUGUCUCUGUGGAGGAAGUAAUCACUAGUCUCAGCACAGUGUCUCUGUGGAGGUAGUAAUCACUAGUCACAGCACAGUGUCUCUGUGGAGGUAGUAAUCACUAGUCACAGCACAGUGUCUCUGUGGAGGUAGUAAUCACUAGUCUCAGCACAGUGUCUCUGUGGAGGUAGUAAUCACUAGUCACAGCACAGUGUCUCUGUGGAGGUAGUAAUCACUAGUCUCAACACAGUGUCUCUGUGGAGGUAGUAAUCACUAGUCACAGCACAGUGUCUCAGUGGGAGUCAGGAGAGGAAAACAAAAUGGAGAUGAGGUGUAUAUGUGUUUUUACUCACCUGAGGUCCUGGUAAACCAACAUCUCCCUUUUCUCCCUUUUCACCAUCACCACCCUGAAACAGAAAUGGACAUGAGAGAAAAACAACCUCUUUAUCAUUCAUUCCUUUGUCAUUUUGUCAUUUCACACAAAGCCAGUGGGUAGAUGGAAUGGUUUGCAAAUGAUUGACUGUACAUUAGUCAUAUGAGGCACACUGUUAUGGAACACAGUUUAACCAGAGGCAAACGUGUUCAUAUACAGGCUAUAUACUGUAUCAUAUCUUAUGUUUAUAUACAGGCUAUAUACUGUAUCAUAUCUUAUGUUUAUAUACAGGCUAUAUACUGUAUCAUAUCUCAUGUUUAUAUACAGGCUAUAUACUGUAUCAUAUCUUAUGUUUAUAUACAGGCUAUAUACUGUAUCAUAUCUUAUGUUUAUAUACAGGCUAUAUACUGUAUCAUAUAUCAUGUUUAUAUACAGGCUAUAUACUGUAUCAUAUCUUAUGUUUAUAUACAGGCUAUAUACUGUAUCAUAACUUAUGUUCAUAUAUACUCUGAGUGUACUAUAUACAUAUAUAUAUAUGAACAUUGUCACGCCCUGGUCUUAGUAUUUUGUGUUUAUAUAUUUAUUUGGUCAGGCCAGGGUGUGACAUGGGGUUAUUUUGUGUUGUGUUGUGGUAUUGGGGGUUUUAGUAGGUAUUGGGAUUGUGGCUGAGUAGGGGUGUCUAGCAUAGUCUAUGGCUGCCUGAGGUUCUCAAUCAGAGUCAGGUGAUUCUCGUUGUCUCUGAUUGGGAACCAUAUUUAGGAAGCCUGGGUUUCACUGUGUUUUCGUGGGUGAUUGUUCCUGUCUUAGUGUUUUGUUUUUCACCAGAUAGGGCUGUUUCGGUUUUCAUUAUUUCAUUUCGUUAGUUUUGUAGUUUCUGUAUGUAUAGGUUUUCCUUCAUUAAAAUAUAUCAUGAAUCAUCA